GGGGAUUUAGCUCAGCGGCAUAAGCACCUGCCUUGCAAGCAGGCAGUAGAGACUUUAAUUCCUG
RNAcentral lists this transfer RNA (64 nucleotides) under Cavia porcellus (domestic guinea pig). It matches the Rfam family "tRNA". From Rfam's summary of the family: Transfer RNA (tRNA) molecules are approximately 80 nucleotides in length. Their secondary structure includes four short double-helical elements and three loops (D, anti-codon, and T loops). The record is from Rfam by way of RNAcentral. Lineage: Eukaryota; Metazoa; Chordata; Mammalia; Rodentia; Caviidae.